UUUGUUUGAUCGUUUGUUUGUUUGUUUGUUUGAUUAUUUAUUUAUUUAUGUUUGGACUUUGUAACCCUGGCGUAGCAUUGGGUGAUGUGUCUGUGUUAAAAUUAGUUCUUGUGCGGUGUGAGCUGUUGACUGAUCAAAUUUUGCCUUUAGUGUGGGAUUGUAGUAUGUAGAUGGGGAUUUUGUAGAUUGUAUAUGUUUGUUUGACGAUGUGUAUUUUAGGAAAUCGGUUAGAAAGAUGAAAGAGACAAAAGACAAAGUAAUUGGUUUAGUCUUAGAGAGAAUUCUUAAUUGAUAAUAUAUGGAAAUGUUUUAUUUUUAUUUUGUUUUCAUGGGUAAGCAUUGAAAUAUUCUAAAUUAAAAACAUAGCAAAAACAAUAACGUGUUUCCAAAUUAAAUAACAUUAUACAUAUAAUAAAAUAAGUGAAUAAAAUUUCAAAUAAAAAUACCAAAAUGAAUAAGUUAGAGGUUGAAUAUUAUAAUCUUAUAAAGAAAUAAAAGUGAUGAGAUGAACAUUAUCACAGAUAUCUAUAUUUAUUUGAGUAGAAAUCUGUCAGUCCAAACAAAUAAGAGUAUGCAAACUUGAUUUUUAUUUUUUUAUUUUUUAUUUUUUAAAUUUAUUUUUAUUCUUAAAUACAAUUUAGAUCUCUAAGUGUCUUUUGUUGUAUCAUGUAUAAUAUUGUAUGCAUGGCUAUAUGAAUUUAUUGUAAUUUUUUUGUAGAUUGAAAAAGUUAUUACAAAAUUGUUUUACAAGUUAUAUGUUUGUUUCUUAAGUUUUGUGGUCCUUAUAAAUGAUGCUUACGUAAUAUAUGAUUUUUUUAUUUUUUUAUUUUUAGAAUAAUAAAAUCUAACAUUUAAGUGUAUAAAAUAUUUUUUUAACAAAAACAUUAAAUAUAUAUAU
RNAcentral lists this long non-coding RNA (898 nucleotides) under Physcomitrium patens. Its description in RNAcentral is "long non-coding RNA (PPAT_LNC012866)". Lineage: Eukaryota; Viridiplantae; Streptophyta; Bryopsida; Funariales; Funariaceae. The record is from RNAcentral.